AUUGAACGCUGGCGGCAGGCCUAACACAUGCAAGUCGAGCGGAUGAAGGGAGCUUGCUCCUGGAUUCAGCGGCGGACGGGUGAGUAAUGCCUAGGAAUCUGCCUGGUAGUGGGGGAUAACGUCCGGAAACGGCGCUAAUACCGCAUACGUCCUGAGGGAGAAAGUGGGGGAUCUUCGGACCUCACGCUAUCAGAUGAGCCUAGGUCGGAUUAGCUAGUUGGUGGGGUAAAGGCCUACCAAGGCGACGAUCCGUAACUGGUCUGAGAGGAUGAUCAGGCACACUGGAAGUGAGCCGCGAUCCAGACUCCUACGGGAGGCAGCAGUGGGGAAUAUUGGACGAUGGGCGAAAGCCUGAUCCAGCCAUGCCGCGUGUGUGAAGAAGGUCUUCGGAUUGUAAAGCACUUUAAGUUGGGAGGAAGGGCAGUAAGUUAAUACCUUGCUGUUUUGACGUUACCAACAGAAGAAGCACCGGCUAACUUCGUG
This 483-nucleotide ribosomal RNA is filed under the name uncultured bacterium. RNAcentral describes it as "partial 16S ribosomal RNA". It matches the Rfam family "Bacterial small subunit ribosomal RNA", at positions 30 to 507 of the family's 1533-position model. The record is from RNAcentral.